RNAcentral lists this ribosomal RNA (494 nucleotides) under uncultured bacterium. Its description in RNAcentral is "bacterial SSU rRNA". It matches the Rfam family "Bacterial small subunit ribosomal RNA", at positions 30 to 524 of the family's 1533-position model. The record is from RNAcentral.
AUUGAACGCUGGCGGCAUGCCUUACACAUGCAAGUCGAACGGUAACGGGUCCUUCGGGAUGCCGACGAGUGGCGAACGGGUGAGUAAUAUAUCGGAACGUGCCCAGUAGUGGGGGAGUAACUGCUCGAAAGAGCAGCUAAUACCGCAUACGACCUGAGGGUGAAAGGGGGGAGUCGCAAGACCUCUCGCUAUUGGAGCGGCCGAUAUCAGAUUAGCUAGUUGGUGGGGUAAAGGCCUACCAAGGCAACGAUCUGUAGUUGGUCUGAGAGGACGACCAGCCACACUGGGACUGAGACACGGCCCAGACUCCUACGGGAGGCAGCAGUGAGGAAUAUUGGUCAAUGGGCGGAAGCCUGAACCAGCCAUCCCGCGUGAAGGAAGACAGCCUUACGGGUUGUAAACUUCUUUUCUGUCAGAAGAAUAAGCUUGUCGAGACGAGUGAUGCCGGUAUGACAGGAAUAAGCAUCGGCUAACUCCGUGCCAGCAGCGGUAAA